RNAcentral lists this long non-coding RNA (1239 nucleotides) under Homo sapiens (human). RNAcentral's name for it is "non-protein coding lnc-IFITM2-4:3". The record is from RNAcentral. Lineage: Eukaryota; Metazoa; Chordata; Mammalia; Primates; Hominidae.
UAUGAAAAAAUAGCCAGUGGUGGUGGUGCAUGCCUGUGGUCCCACCCACUCGGGAGACCGAGGUGGGAGGAUCGCUCGAGCCCAGGAGGUCGAGGCUGCACUGAGUGUUGAUUGGUCACGUCGCUGCACUCCAGCCUGGGUGACAGAGCCAGACCCUGCUGUCAGGCCUCCGAGCCCAAGCCUGGACGUGUACAUCCAGAUGGCCUGAGGCAACUGAAGAACCACAAGAGAAGUGAAAAUGGCCAGUUCCUGCCUUAACUGACGACAUUGCCUCAUGAAAUUCCUUCUCCUGGACAGCAAGAAAGGAGCUGAGGAAGCCACUCAACUCUCCAGCACCCACCCUGUGCGGCCACGGAGGACCGUGGGGAUGGGAAGUGUCCCCUCCACCAAGCACAGCCCUCAUCUCUUCCCGGAAGUUGCUCCCCGGCGUCAGCGUCCUCACCCAGCCACCCCUGGGACUUUGGAGUUGCUGCAGAGCAUGACUGCUGGGAUCUGCCUUCUUCCCUUCCAAACCGUCGAAGCCCCUGUCCCUGCUCCUUGGUUGAAUACUGGGGGCGUGGGCAGAAAACUCUUCAUCUUUUUAAUUCAGGGCCCUCCAGCUUGGGAGGAGACACAGCUAGGCUGGAUGCGGCAACUUGUGUACUUUUGACCUUCAUGUAGCUGGAGGACACCGGGUUGCCCUUGAGGAAGCAGGUGUAUUUUGCCUGCAGGAAGGGCAGUCUUCUGAGUACCUCGCAGGUGUCUGGAUGUGGUGCGCAUUAGUGCUGUUCAUCAGACACCUUCAGCUGUCCUCUGGGCAGAUGGCAGGGUUGUGUCUUCCUGUGGAGUUCCUUCCUUUCGCCUCAGUGACCACGGAGACGCAUGUCGAGGUGUGACCUCGCCUGGGCCUCUGCAUGAGGGUGGGGAGCAGAGUCCUCCUUAGUGGGAGUGGAGCGUGCACAGGACGUAAUUACGUGGGGCCAUUUGUUACGCAGCCUAACACAGCCUGUCCUGGCUGAUGCAGAUGGCCAUUGCAGCAGUCAUCUGCAGGUCCUCAGCUUAGUCUCACCCUCACUGGAGAUCUUAGCCUUGGCCUCACAGGUGCUCCAGACCUUUUCCUGGCAGAAUUUUGGUGACUUCAGAAAUAUGAUGACUGCUGAACCCACUUCUCCCAGCAUUUCUAUUUGUGGUUGCCUGGUGUAUUUAAAGUCUGUGUUGAUGGGUGCAUAUAUUUUUAACGUUUCCCUAUUGUGAAAUUUA